GAUCGUGACCUGAGCCAAAGUCUGACGCUCAACCGACCGAGCCACCCAGGCACCCGAGAGAUCUUGUUAUUUAUUCUGUUUGGUUCUUUAUUAUUUGAUAAGUCUAUAAUGUUCCCAGCUUAUUUUCCACGUGUUCAUCUCAUUCCCUCAAAUGUUUUUGUUUGUUUGUUUGUUUGUUUUUUACUGCUUAUCAAACAGAAGCCGGCCACCAGAAUUUUCUAAGGACCUCCUUUUGUGCCGGGCCCUGUGUUAGGUGCUUCUUACAUAGUUUUAUUUAAUCCUCAAGACAUCUGGGAGUUAGGUGUUGCUCUCCUCAUUUUAUACCCGAGAGACUGGAACUUACACACACUGUACACAUAAUAAACUUCUAAGGGUCACACACAGCUGGCAAGUAGGGGAGUGCUGUGCAGCUUCUGUGUGCUAAGGCAGGACGCCAGCCAUGGACACAGCUGGGGGAUGGGUGGGGAGAGGAGGCCCCCAAACACAGAUCACAUUACCCAUGUAGUAUGCUCCCCACAGCACCAGGCACAUGGUUGUUCAGUAAGAACACCCAUGAUGGUGUUCUUAACCAUGACCCUCUUCUACUGAAAUACACUGGGACAGCCCCCUCGACCUCCGACUGAGGCUCAAGUACAGGUGUGUAGCCAGGGCAGGGGUCCUUCUGAUAAGGCCUGAUGGGGAUGGUGAAAUGGGAAGACAUGUCAUGAUGACGUUGCUCCUUCACUGGCUCCCUUCGUAUUUAUAGUGCGAGCAUACGCAAGACGCUAGGGAGAGCCUGCGGGAAAUGUGGCAGAGUCUUGGCCUUCAGGAGCUGAGACAUUAUCAAGAAACAUUUCCUCCUCCUUCAGAACCAUCCAGAGAUCCAGAAGAAGAGUUCUCAGUUCACAGUGAGAACUGUUCAGUUCACAGUUCACAGUGACGUUCUGAGCAAAAAGGAGGAAGGAGGGAGGAAAACCAUUGUGGGAGCGGGGGUGGGGGGGGACACACACACACACACACACAGCCAUGAACCAAAGCCACUAAAUGUCCUUCAUAAAGUAAAACUUACAGAAUACCAAGACUUAUUUCCUCCCGCUAUUUGAAGUUGCUUUUUAUGUUCAGAAAACUCAGAGUAGGAGUCAGUGGUUUUCUCUUACUUUGAGCUGUGUGCUUUGGACAGCCUGGGACCCAGACCACCCCAACUGGGUUGGUAUCUCGAACUUUCCCCGCUCCCCAGACUCAUGGCUGCUCCAAGCUCAUGUCACUGAAGCCUUUCACAGGCGCAUCCAUGGGCCCUGGUGUGUCAGGAACAGAGCCAUGAUGCCUUCUUCCUGGGAGACAGGGAACGAGAUCUCCAUGGCGGCAGGAUUGACGCCUAAAAUUGUCGGAGGGGGUGACAGGUUGCCAACGUCUUAGAAGAACGCUGCGUUUUUAUGUUGUGCCGAUUUUUGAAAUCCGGCUCCUGCUUGUAGAUUGUCGUGUAACCAUGUCAAGGAUUAGGUAGGGUUUUUGUAUUUAUAUAUACAUGGGCAUUGUUGUUCCUGAUGAGUCCAGCAGUGGGCUGGCGGGGAAGCUCCGUCCACCUCGCAGAGCACUUAACAAGAGACCUGACAACAGCAAUAUGUUACCUCUUUUGUUUGUAUGGCAUCUUCACACCCACUCGCUCGGCAACGGACUGAAUGAAAUGUGCUCCGCUGCUUUGUGUGGAGGAAAAAGAAUGAAAAUAAUGGCCAUUCAGGCAAAAUAAAGCUUUUUAGUGCUUUUCAGAAAGCAGUCUUGUCUUCAUUGUUGUCCCGGUGUUCACAUAAUGGCCUUAUCCUGUCCUUCAUUGAAACACGCCCAAAGCAAGGAAAACAUCGCACCCUGCACACAAACAAAUGUGUGUUCUGAAAGUGAUCAACAAGGAAGGCAUGGGUCUGAGAGGGCCGUUGGACCAGUUAUCCAGAGGGUUUGUGAGGAGAGGGCUUCCGCUCAGAGCAAAGACAACGGACAGGUGAUGUGGACGGCGGGAAGGGGCUUGUUAGAAAAAUAGUUUUGGAGAUGAAGUUCUGUCUGGCAGGAUCUCGAGAAGGGGAAAGACAUGAUUUUCACUGUUAUCCCUGCCAUUGUGCACACUGAUCAGGCACAUGCUGUGUGCCAGGUGUGACACUGAGCGUCUCUUAAGUAUUAUGUAAUCCUCUCAGAAACCUCUGAGGAGAACUGUUGUCCCCAUUUUAGUUAUGAGGAACCUAGAGUCUCGAGAGAUCAAGUCACCUCCCCAGCAUCAUUCAACUGGGAAAUGGUGGAAUCAGGAGUCAAAUCCAGAUACCGUCUGACCCCACACACCAACUAUUCUUUGAAUUUUUUUUACGUUUAUUUAUUUAUUUUGAGAGACAGAGAACACAAAGGAGGGGGGAAGAGAGAGAGAGGGAGAGAGAGAAUCUGACACAGGCUCUGUGCUGUCAGUGCAGAGCCCAACAUGGGGCUGGAAUUCACAAACCACGAGAUCAUGACCUGAGCCAAGAAGGAGUUGGAUGAUUAACUGACUGAGCCAAUCUGGCUCCCCCAACAUACAUACCAAUUUUUUUUAAUGUUUAUUUAUUUUUGAGAGAGAGAGAGAGAGAGAGAGAGAGAGAGAGAGUGAACAGGGGAGGAGCAGAGAGAGAGGGAGACACAGAAUCCGAAGCAGGCUCCAGGCUCCCAGCUGUCGGCACAGAGCCCGAAGCCGGGCUCGAAAUCACGCACCGUGAGAUCACGACCUGAGCCGACAUCUGAUGCUCAACCAACUGAACCACCCAGGUGCCCCUUUACCAACUUUUUAAACACCACCCUAGGAUCCCCAGAAUCCAAUCACCCAGGCUUAUAAAUUAGAGGAAGUGACACCUGGGUAACAAUGGGAAUUCCAGGGAGAGUUACUUUGGGAACCCAAGUUCAUUUGACUGCUCAUCUUUAUGAUAGGAUUGUAGGGGUGCUGCAUGUUGUGUCAAUCAUCAAACGUUGGAGAGGCAGAAUAAGUGAGGACAUCAGCCUGAGUUCGGGGCAAGAUAUCCUCUAAACCAGCUCAGCAAACACGGACUAUUCACUGUUCCUCUCUGGGUGUUGCUAGCCUGGUCUCUUAAGUCCACCCUUGACUCAUUAAAAUCGGUGCUGGGCUGGAAAAAUCAUCAAGAUCCUCCCGACAAUAAGAUUUUCUGUUCCCAUAUCUCUCUAGCCACCUUCUCAUGGUGACUUCUAGUUAAUCUCUUAUUUCUGUUUGUAUCAAUGACGAGAAACCCACUGGAGCCACAAAGGCCAUUGAUCCCCCCACUUCACCAGCCUUAAAGUGAUCCUUAACCUCUGUGUGCUCCAUGCCUCUUGCCCUCUCCUGAGUCUAUCCUCAUCGUCUCAACUCUUCUAGGUCCACUUGAAAUCCCACCCCCCACCCCAGCAAGAUCCUACUUGACUCUUCCCCAAGCCACAUUCAGAGACAUUGCAGUGGCAGCUUGAAAGCAGUCACUUUAGGAGCAUUUAAACAGAACUGGAAAGAACUACACAUCAAGCCAUCGUUAUUGUUUUGAGAGCUCGUUUAUGAGCCCACCACUGCUCAUACCCAAUGUCCUACCCCCAUUUGACUCCAGCCAUUUAAUACCCCACAGGCCAUUGUUUUAUCAUGUGCCUAUACAUGUCUCACUACAGAGACUGUGGGGUCAUCAAAUUCUUUACAUCUCUGCAGUACCUCAUGUACCUUAUAAGUAGUGAGCACUCUGUCCGUACUGUUCAUCUCAUUUCCUUGGGUGUACUUUUUUCGAUCCAGUUGGUUGCAUGAAAAUCUGUUAAAUAGCCCAUUGUCAUUUAUGCAUUCAUAAACCAUUUAUUCAGACCAAGGAGCAUUUACCGUGUGCCAGGCAUUAGUUCAAAAGGCAGAAUCCCUGAUAGUAAAAGCUGUAGGAGGUCUUUUCCCACAGAGAGCUCACAUUCUAGUCAGGAGAGACUAAAAAUAGACAAGUAAGCAAAUUAACAAAUAAAUUGGAUGCUGUCUGUUAACAAUAAAAGAAUAACUUAGAAGGAUGGAAUAGAGGAACUGGAAAUUGGGUGGUACCUAAUCUCAGGUUGAGAUGUGUAUUUGCUUCCUGUUGCUGCUAUAACAAACUAUCACACGUUUUUUGGCUUUAAACAAUACAUAUUUAUCUUACAGUUUGGGACGUCUGAAGUCUAAAAUGGGUUGGCAGGCCUGUGUUCCUUCUGGAGGCUCUAGGGAAGAAUCCAUUUCUUGCCUGUUGCAGCUUCUGAGUCUAUUUGUACCACUUGGCUCCUGGCCCUGCACAUCUCUGACCUCUGCUUGUGUCAUCACAUCUCCUCCAACUCUGACUCUCUUACCCCCUUCUUUUCCUUAUAAAGAUCCUCCCUGCCUGGGUAAUCCAGGAUAAUUUCCCCAUCUCAGAAUCCUAAACUUGAUCAUAACUGAAAAGUCCCUUUUGCUCUAUAAGGUGGCCUAAUCAUAGAUUCCAGAGACAGGAUGUAGACGUCAUCAGGGGACAUUAUUGUGCCUCCCGAGGGAAGGCUUUCUUGAGGAGGUAACAUUUGAGAUGACACUCAAAUAACAAAAACAUAUGAGGGAGAGUAUUCCAGAUAGAACAUCCUGCAAAGAUCAUGAGCCUGGCCUGAGCUUAGAGUUUCUGAGGAAGGUUCCAACUCAUUUGAAUGAGCAUCCAGAGGGAGGCCAGGGAGGUAGGCAGGGCCCAGGUGCCUCAGCAUCAUGGGGGCCAGAGUGGGAGCAUGGACUUCAUUCUGAGUGUGAUGGGGAGUUGGCAGAGGACUCAAGAGUUGUGUUUUUCACUGGGUUGAUCCAUACUUUAAUGGAAACAACUUCUCUGGCAAUUGUCUAAAGCAGUGCUGGCCAGUAGAAAUAUAAUGCAAUGCACAUUUCUAAUUUUAAGUGUUCUGGUAGCCAUAUUUUUAAAAAGUGAAAAGAAACAGGGUAAGUUAUUCUUAAUAAAACAUUUACUUAACCCCAUACAUCAAAAAUAUUAUUUCAACAUAUAAUCAAUAUAAAGAACAUAAGAAUGUGAUAUUUUUACCUUCUUUUAAAAAAAGUAUUAUGUCUUCAACCUCUGGUGUAUGUUUUAUGCUUAAAUCACAUCUCAGUUUUGACUAGUCAUAUUUCAAGUGCUCAAUAGCCACCUGUGGUUUGUGGCGACCGUUUUGGACAGUGCACCUCUGGACACGGUCCUCACAAUCCUGUGAAGAGUCUACUCAGGGAAUGUUUGAAAAAGCAGUGAACAGUGGGGUGUCACACAGAAUGUGGGGCACAUGUCACUGCCCUUAGCCAUUCCCAACUUCAUAAGAAGAAUAUAAUAUAUUCUAGACAGGAAUGUGUCCCCUGGUCCACUCUGAGUGGACUCUUGUCUGGCUGGAACCUCCAAGGAACACCUAUCUCUAUCCAUUUGAGUGGUCUUUAAGUUCACCUCUUUGUCUACCCCUCAUAACCUUUAAUCCCCUGAGAGUUUUAGCCCAAGCCACACUUUCCCCACUUCUUUAUAGACAGGGCCAUUUAUUCAACUCAUUGUACCGAUAUUAUGGAAAACAAGGGCAGAGGUCAAGAAUGGGAAAAAUUGAAUGAAGCAACAAGAGGGUAUCAGUUGCUAGGCAAGAACUGUAUCUCAGACGCUCCCAAGCUGUACCCAUGCCUUCCUAUGCUCUCACAGUGACCCAUCCCUGAUGCUAACCAGCCACAAAAGUCUAGCCCGAAAAGCUUAGUACAAUAACACCAUGUAUAUUCAUUUAGAGUUUUUACAGUGAUAUUAAAUUAAAAGGGUUUAUGAAAUAGAAAAUAAAGAUCUGAAUUAAAAAGGUAGGUCAUGGAGGUUACAUAAAGGCCAGCUUAGGAGAAGCAUAUUCAACACUGCACAAGACAGUAAAAAUAACAGCAACAUUUAUUAGAAUAUCCUAUUUAGAGCCAGUGAUCUGUGCCACACUGCUUUCCGGAAAAGGGAUGGCACCAGGUUCCCUUCUGAUGAUGGAUUUGGUGGGCUGGCACCUUGACCCGGACAUCUGGGCUGUGGGUACCAGCAGCACCAUCAAAAGACAGUUUGGCUGUUUUGACAUGUAGGGACAGAAGCUCUCAUGUGCAAGGACAAAGGUGCCUUCAGUGAGUGCUUUGGGGCUUUAGAGCAGCAGUCAAAUUACCAGUGGCUCUAAUUAGUGUGCCUGCAAUCUGGAGCGAUCUAUAUCUGCAUCCCAAAAAGGGGUGGAAUGCUUCCCUGUGAUAACACAUUAGCACAAGACAUUCUUGGGUGAGUUUCCCAAAAUUACAAGGACAUGAUGGUGUGGGAGAGAAUCAGCCUCGAUGGAAACCUGUUGCUUUCAAAAUCAGCAGCCAUCUUUGCAAUCAGCCAGUGAACAAAUAUUUGUCUACUACCUGUGAAGUGCUACAAUCUGGAGGAACUUAAGCAGCAUGAGGUCCCUACUUCCCAGGGACUUAAGACCUGGCUGGAGAAAAAAAAUAAUAACCGUGCAAUAAUAAAUAACAGUACAUGGCACUACUGUGGUACACUGGGUCAGGUUCUGGCCUGAGAAUCAGUAGAUCUAAGUUCUGCCACGAACUCAGCUAUUUCUGAGUGCUACUACCUGUGGUCUAGUCAUCACCUAGCAGGGGCAAUGGUUACUGGAUCACACAAGACUCAUUUCCUUAGGACAAGGCACCUUACCUCUCUGGACCUCAAGAUCUUCUAGAAAUCAAGAGGGUUUGGAGAGAUUAUGAUGGUGGCAAUAAUAAUAAUGGCUCCAUACCGUGACGUCUAACUUUGUGCUCGUGGUUGUGCCACAUACGUUACAUAAGUAAAGUUUUCCCAGUUUAUAUAGAUGAGAAAACGGAGAUUUAGGCUAAGUAACUUACCCCAAAGCAAAGAGCACUGACUAAUGCAGACCUGAGAUUCAAUAGCAAGCCUUUGGGUCUGUAAGUUUGGAAUCUAAAUGCCCUGCACCCCAUCCCAGCUAUCACAUUCUUUAGUUCUGGGACCUGAAAUAAUCAUGGGAAGAUUACUUGGGAGGCUUACUGGGUGAAGACUGAUGGAAAAACCAUGUUGCAGUAAAACAUGGACCGGGUGUAAGCAGAGCUCCAGAGGGAGAAAGACACCUGUCGCUGUGGCUCAGAGAAUUCAGACCCAACUGUAUCAGAACACCGUGAUGCUGGAAUUCUGCAUCUCUGUCUGGGAUAUGCUGAUCAACCAAUGCCGGUGUCUCAGUUUGCACUGAUGCAGCACUGGUCAUUCGGCAAGACAGUCACACAGCAGGCGGAGUCACCAGAAGGGGACUUCAGGGCUGCUGCGUGAAAAUAAGUCUCAACUCUUCAACAUUUUCAUUUUAUACUAGUCUCAGCCACAGGUGGAAGAGCUGUGAAUUUCACUUUAGCCAUAAUGUUUGGUUAGGACACACACACACACACACACACACACACACUGGCACCCACAAAGUCUUCACUUUGAGGCAAGGGUGGGUUUGGUUUCCUUCACUUACACAACUGAUGCCGCCCAGGGACUCUUUGGUUUAGAUGGCUCAUUAGCCACAAACUGUUUCGUUAUGUGUUGCCCAGUUACCUUGGCUUCCUGCACGUUCUCUUGAGCGGAUAGCUCAUCUUCUUAUCUCAGAGAAUUGUUUCCCCAAGUAGCUCCAGAGUGUGUAGCUUUGAUACCAUCGAGGCAAGAAGGCAUUAAACCACCCUUUUUGUAAUUAUUUUAAUCGUACUUUUUCAUGUCUGCUUCAUGAAAAGAUGAUGUGGUUAGAUUUAAGCUGGGCCUUGCUGAGGGUGUCGUUUAUGCCUGGGGUUACCCACAUGGUCACGUGCCUUACCUUCUUUUGCAGCAGGGUGAUCUUAUCUUCUUUGUUGCACCUUGUCAGAGAGCAUCCACCUCCUUCCAGCUUUUAUGUGUGUGUGUGCAUGCACACACAUGUGCGUUUAGGCGUGUGUGGAGGUUUGCUCGUGGCAGCAGCUUGUAAAAUGAUACCUUGCCAUUCAUCUAUAAUGAGGCCUUUGCUCUACUCUUAGAAAAGAAAACCUUUAUUGGCUUUUCACUUGGGAAUUUGGAGCAAAGUUUUCCUUAAACAGACGUAUUUCUAUUUAAUUUAAGCAGGGAAUUCUCUUUUUCCCUCUAUGUGUCAGGAACUGACCCAACUACUUAGGGUACAAAGAUGAAUAUGAUUGAGCCAGUGUCCUUGAGAGAUUUUCACCAUAGCCGUAGAGAGAAAGCAUGUUAACAAAUAGCUAGGAUUUAACCCAGAAAGGGCCGAGAAGUGCCAUAAAUGCAGUUCUGAAGGAAGACAGACAAGGGGGACUAGAAAGGAAGAGCCAGGGGAGGUUAUGAAAAGGAGAAGACAUUUAAAAUCCAUAUUUAAAGUCAAGUACAAGUAUUCCAGUUAAAAAGGUAAAAGGUAUUCCCAGCAGAGGGAAUAGCAAAAGAGAUAAGGAAGAUAUGGACAUGUGGGCUAUGUUUAGUAUGGCUUGAGCAGAGCAGGCAUACAGAGGUGAGGCUGGAGAAAGGUGGGCUGACCCAACUAGAGGAGGGCUCUGUGCAUUGUCCUGGGAUGUUUAGCACCUGGGAUAGCAUCCUGGGAUCUUCAGCUGUAAGCACUUUUAGCAUUUAGUGUCCUAGGCUCUUUCGCCUUAAGAUUUAAACCCAAUGAGUGCACCAGACCCCCCGGAAAGACAGGAGGACACCUUACGGGUCCUUGCCAAAAUGAAGACCUUGGCCUUCCCCAGCCAGACAGGGCUGUGCCUGCCAGUCUCUCCCUGGUUCUGACUCAGCCUGUGGCUUUCCUUUCACAAGUGAUUUAACCCUCCUAGUACCUGGCUUGCUGUGGUCAGAGUGUGAAUCCUCAAAGUGUCCUUGACUUCUGCUGACACCUUGAAAGACACAUGGGAAGAAUUGCUUUUAUAGCUCAUGUGGCUCUUGCGAAGUCAAUGGACGCUUAACCAUGACCUCCAUAGGGACAGUAGAAGCAGGCAUUGGUUUGGGUGGUGGCAGUACAUUGUUGCCUGGCUAGGCAAAGAGCUCUGUGCCUGGGAGACUUAGAACUCGUGGCCUUGCCUGGCCUCUGCCACUCUCAGGCUGAAUGACCUUGGACAAGUACUUUCUGUCCAGGCUCCGGUGAACUCACCUGCUCAUGGAGGGGCUGGCCUCCAUGGCUUCCUUCUGUGUCUGAUUCUGUCUUACCUCUUUAACUUUUAGGAACUCAGAGUGUUCUAUGAUGGAAGAGUCUGACCGGAAGCAUUUCAUGUUAACAUAGGGGCUCUGGGAGUUUUGUGCCUUGGACGAGGGAAGAAGAAUCACCCGGAGGCCCAGUGAGGAUCCCCCUUCCUCCAUCUCCUAGCAGCAAAACAGCUGGAGAAAGAGGGAGGCAGAACCCAGCUUCCUACCUGAGUCGUCCUUAGGUGUGGAGGUUUGGAGAAUGCCCCCUGGGAAGGGGGCUCUGGGAGCCACACAGCAGCAGUGGGUAGAAAAGGAGGAUGGAGUGAGGGGGAGGGGGCUACAGCACGCAGUUGUCCUCUGGCUCAGAUAGAUCCAGCCAGCUCCAGCCCCACCACCACUGCCCUCACCCGGCAGAUGCUGUGGCCUGCUUCCAGUGCCUGGCCACUCAGUGCCUCCCAGGCUGCGUGUCAUGUUUGUCACCCUGUUUUCUACUCUGAAGGCUGAGCAUUCUCAAGUCAUAUGCAUUGAGGGCUCCUCUGCACAUGGUCCUCAGUUGGGUUUCAGCGGAGGUGAUCCAUGGCCGCCAAAGCAUAUGUAGAUGGCAGAGCCCAGGAUGGUCUGGCUGCAGCACAGGGCACCUAUUACCAUCCUGACCACAGGUUUUGGUAUCAUAACAAAUGACAUGGGUUCAAGUGCUGGGCCCACUGACUCAGCGUACAGCUUUUCAUGGUCACUUCAUCUCUGUGGGCCUUAUUUUCUCAUCUCCGAAGGGCAGGUAACAGGACUUUGUACGACUGUCAGAAGAACAGACUCAGAUGAAGUCUUAGUGCUGUGCCCGGCAUGUAGUAAGUGCCCCAUAAGUGGUAGCUUUAAAAAAAAAAAACCUAGUAUUAUUAAGGUCUAGAAAAGUAAGUUAGGGCCGGAACAUAGAGGCUCCUUUCUGCCAAGGCAAGGGAUUUAGAUGUUGGCCUUCAGCCCAUGGGCAGCCAUUGAAGAUACUCCAGCAGGGAAUGGCAUUAAAGAAAUUGGUGUUUGGGGAAAUCUCCACCUGUCAUCAUUUUGGGGUGCACCGGAAGCAAGAAGGAAUGUUGGAGCCUGCUCAGGCUCUGUUGGUGUCCAAGCAAAAUGGAUGAGGGCCCAGGGAGGUAGCAAAGGGAAUGGAAUGGAAAAACAGAAUCAAGACCUUUAAAAAGGAAGAUGGCUGAGGAGGAUGAGUUGGGCCCUGGGCUGAGAGGCAGUAGAGGAAAAUGAAGGAGGAUGUACCAAAGAAGGCAUCAACCCAGACUGGGGUGUGAGUGUUCUCUGUCCUGGGGGUGGGGGUGACUGUUGACCCAGGUCCCAACACCGUGGUUUUGGGCACAUUGAUUGGUUGUACAUUUUGUGUCAUGCUUUGUGCACAAAGGGUUCGAGAUGGUUUUACAUGGUCUAUACUUUCCUCGUGAGGAAAAAUGAACUGAAACAGUAAUGACCAAAGGAAAGAGGAGAUGGAAACGAGAACAACAUUGUCGGGAAGUAGAGAAUGAGGAAUAAGAUGACUGACAACACAGGGAUGGGAGUGGUGGUGUCGGUCCCACAAUGUCAACUUGUGGCCUUGGAAUUCUAUUAUUUCCCACCUACUCCCUUCCUUAGGGAAGCAUCCCUCCCAAAGGGACAGAAAAAGCAGGUUCUUUGACCUCUUUUCUACCUUCCAGAAUAACAGUGGGGUAUUUCUCAAUGGUAUUUUUCAUCUUCCUUUUCUUUGUAAUGGCAGAAGCAAGGGCAGUUGCCUUCUUCUCCAGAAGCAGUAAAAGUCCCAGGAAAGGAUGAGAGGGAGGGAAAGCAAGCAAGAGCAACAGAAAGGGAGAGAGAGAACCCAUCGCCAGGUGACCUGCUGGUCGGAUGGUGGUCGUGGCGGCUGCCACAGAACCAUCCAGCUUGUGGCUUUGCUUCCUCUUUCUUUCUCUCUAGUCGCACAGAAUCACUCAGCCCUAGAUUCCUCUUGGGUUUCAGAACGCAAGAGGUCUGUGAGGAUACCUUGCAGUGCCUGAGGCCCGUGAGAGCGUUCCCAGCCACCGCAGAAUGUUUGGAGUCUCCGGGCAAGUGUUGUUUCCAAGUGUUGUCUCUUGGCAGUUGUUGUCAGCUGCUGGGUGGUGUGGGGAGAAAACGAGGCACAGUUGUUUCCUGCAGGUCUCUGCUGACAGUGCUAAUGGAGAGUCACUCAACACUUGGUAAGUGCAGUGAAUGUUUUUAUUCUCAAUGCCCAAAUUUCUCUGGCUUCCGUAAGUUAUUGUUGUCGAGGAAGAAGGUGGUAUCAUCGCCACCCUCCCUCCCCGUGUGGUGUGACAGCGCAGAGAUCAUUAUCUCUACACCUAACUCAGCAUUGCUUUUUUGGGGGUAACAGCUUUCAAAAAACCAUCAACUGGGCUCCAGCCAGUCAGGCUUCAAGGGCAGUUACCACAGUGCAAAAAGGCAGACUGCUUUGUCGGGCGUGCUGCAGGCCACGGAUGCAGGCUUUAGGGGAUAAUGAGCACAUCCUUUCUUUGUCACAGAUCAGAAUCUAGACCCACUGGUUCUUGGGACAAGGAGAGAGGGGGGCUGGGUGACAAGUGUGCUAGUUAACCUAGAGCUCCUUCCCAUCUCUCCUCUGCCAGUCUGGCAGUGGCUGGACACGUGCAGGGUCCCUUUAGAGAGAAGAAAACAGCUUAGCAAACAUCUAGCUGUCAUGAUCUUCUUCCUAAUGGGAACCCUGAGGCUGAACUAACUUUCCCCAGGUCAAGCCCCGCUGCAGUUUAGAGCUACAACAGGAUUCAAGGUGUCAUUGGCUCUGCAUUCAGUGUUCAGACACUUCUUGGUGAAGUGCAGAGAGAUUGGCUCUGCAGAGGUAGCCCUGGACCAAAUCCAGCCUGAGGACCCAGGAGAUAUCGUCUUCACCCAGCUCCAUGCCAGGCCCUCGGUGCCCUCCGGGGAUGCUGCAGAGCCCUCUGGGACAGAUGCUGAGGACACACAGAUGAGAGGACAAGUCACCCGAAGCCAAGUUAUCAGCAGAUUACUCAAACUGUGGCCCGUGGUUCCAUUGGAGCAUGUGCUGGGGAGACAGAUGGUGUCAGAGGAGACAGCCAGACAUUGAAUCCAGAUCAUCCCAUAGCAUUUGAAGACUCGAGUGUAUAUCAACGAUGAUCGUAAGCAAUGAUAACAAAAUCUCUAUUUAGAGAAGGGCUGGGAAGCCAAAUCUUAAAAAAAUUUGGAGCAUCAACUGUGCUCCACCUCACGUUAUAUGGCCUGUGUUAUUUGUUCAUAAGAUCCCUUCUGGAGUGUUCAUAGACAUUUCCUGUGCCAACCCAAAGGGCACAAAGAGGAGGGAGAUAUCCCUUUCCUUCGGGGUGUAACUUCACAAUGCCAAAUGCUUGCAUACAAAGUGAACAGCUAGUUGCUUCCAAAGGUUUCCAGAUAUCCCAGUUUGGGGCAUCAUGAGAGGAGACCAUCAGAAGCUAACUCAUUUGGUAGGGCCUUCUGUGAUUUCAAAGCUAAUAGAUACAGUGAAGGCUAUACCUCUAGUUAGCUCUUUAGAGAAGUAAAUGGUGCAUGCGUUUUUCCUAACUCUGUGGUCAACAUGGAAACGAAGGCCAAGGUCACCGGCCAGCAUUAGAUAGGAUUUAAAGUGUGUGUACCUCUACCUCCAGACAGGCUCCCCACUGUCUCUACAUUCCAGACAGGUAAUGAGGUCACUGUUUUCUUGCUUUGUUUUUCACAUGUUAAACUUGCAGUACCUGCUACCAAGCCUGUGUUGACGUGUGCAAGGAAGGAUGGGGUUGGCAGUGUGUAGUACCCAUUGACUGAUAUACGUGCAUCCUCGCCGUUGCGUAAUUCUAGAGCCCCACCUGGAGAGAAGCUUGUGUGAGCCAAGCUUCAGUGCACAUCUGGAAUCACCUCAAUCAGACAGGCCUCAUUUUUUUUUUCCUGGUCAUUUUGUUUUCCUAUUUCCAUCCAUUGACCAAUAAAUAGGAAAUACAGGAUAGAAAGGUGUGGUUUUUGUGACAAGAAUUCAAGAUGGAGAAAUAAGAUUGCUGGGCUCUGGCCUGGGAUCUGCCUCUAAAGUUACACGUCCCUUAAUUGCCCAUUCAGGGAGCCUGGGGAAGGGGCAAAGACAAGGUGAUAGAGGGCUUUAAAAGUCAAGGUAAAGAUUUUGUACUUGGUCAUGAGCACAGGGGGCCAUUGAAGCAUUUCUUCAAUAGGGAAGGUCCCGGUCAGAUUUACCUUGAGAAGCAUCACUGGCUGCAGCGUAUCCAAGGUUUUGAGGUUUAGACUAGAUGAAUGACAUGGGAAGGCAUGGCCUAGGGCAGUGGGGUUGGGAGGGGAGGGUAGGAGGGGAGUCUCUGGGGAGUCUUUCAGAGAUACACCCUUAAGGGCUUAGCAACCAGUAAACCUGAGUGAUGAGAAACAGGAUGGGAUACAAAAAGAAUCCCAGCUUUUCUGUUGUGGUUGGAUGGGGGUGUUUCCAGCUAAAUGGAGAACCCAGGAGGCAGUAGAUUAGGCAAGAAGGCCACAGAUUUGGUUCUCAAAAUGCUGCAUCUGGAGUCCCCACUGGACAUGGGUGUAGAAAUGUUCAGGGAACCAAAGGAGAGUGAGUCUAAAACUGGGAAGAGAGCUCUGGUCUAGAGAUGGACACUGGGAGGUUAUCGAUUGCCUAGGAAGAGUGUGGAGUUUGGACCUACCAGCCUGCUGAUGAAAGAAACCUGUGGGACUGUCAUCAGGGGCAGGGGGAGCAUGUGGCAAAGAUGAAGAGCGAAAGGUCAGGACAGCUAGUGUAAACUUUCAAGUCUCCUCAUGAUGUCCUUACCAGUGUGUGAAACACCAAGAGCAAGAAUGAAGUUUCUCUGUUUUGUCUCCUCUGUCCUUCGGCACAGAGAACAGAACAGACCAGCACAAACUUUUAAGUGGUGUUUGAAGCCUCCUGGUAGUUCUCUACAGGCAUGUGCCUUCACGUGGGCUGGCAUUUGUUCCCACAUGUUCUGGGUAAACAACUAUUACACCAUGUCACCUGUAUUUUCAGCUGAAUGCCAUUUAUUAAAAAACAAACAGGGGCGCCUGAGUGGCUCAGUCGGUUAAGCAUCCGACUUCGGCUCAGGUCAUGAUCUCACGGUCCGUGAGUUCGAGCCCCACGUCGGGCUCUGUGCUGACAGCUCAGAGCCUGGAGCCUGUUUCCGAUUCUGUGUCUCCCUCUCUCUCUGCCCCUCUCCUGAUCAUGCUCUGUCUCGCUCUGUCUCAAAAAUAAAUAAUAAAAAAUGUUAAAAAAUUUAAAAAAACAAACAAACAAACAAAAAACAAGAAAAACAUAAGCCAUUCCUGCCUAUCAACUGUUAGGACCCAUGUUUAACCAUGAGAAACAUACCUGUUGAUGGGCAUAUUAAAAGAGGUUGGUGUAAUGGAGUAAUAAGUGAUUGAGCAGCACCCUAGGUAUUGAACUGUGCCUUGAAUACCACAGAACUUGAUAGUCCUUUAGACAAAAAUAGUUAAAUAGCAGGGAGGCUGUUUGCUUUUAAACUGAGAGUAAGUUUUCAUCUCAAUGGCAGUUGGGAGGUAAAAAAAGGGUCAGUGAUUUUUCCUACCUUUGGAGGGGAAUCAGAUGAUGCAGACCAGCCAUCUUCUAGGUUGUAUCUGAGGAUAGUAAACUAAAUCAGAGCAUCAUGAUUAAAGAGGAAGUUUGAGUUUAAAGUGGAAGUAAGCUACUGACAAAUUUGUGGAAGGACAGAAGAGUCAGAAGACCUGGGAUCAGGUCCCCCUGUCACCACCUCUCUGACCCACAGGCUCCUCAUCUGUCAGAGUUUGCGGGGGGGGUGGGGAGGUGCAGUCAUCACAGGUAGUCUUCUACAGAUUGUCAUGACAAUGAAUUGUGUAUGGAUUUUUCGGGUCUUUUUUUUUUAGAGAGGGAGAGAGUGUGCCAGCGGGGGAGAGGGGCACAGGGAGAUUGAGAAUCUUAAGCAAGCUCCACUGUCAGCACGGAAGCCCGACUUGGGGCUUGAUACCAUGCCCCUGGGAUCAUGACCUGAGCCAAAAUCAAGAUUUAGAUGUUCAACCACUGAGCCACCCAAGUGCUCCUGGAAAUUGUUCUGUUAUGUGAAGUGUGUUGGGCCCAGGCUGUUUGAUUGGUGUCUUAUCUUGCAGGGAAGACUUCACUUUCAGGUAUGUCUCAGGUCCCUGGAGGGCCAUUCAGAGAGCCGAUGGUCUUUGUGCAGGUUAUGUUUUUGAAACCUUCUUUGGCCCGCAGUUUUGCUUACCCUCUCCACUUUACGAACGUCAGAAAGAUUAUCUGAUUGACUGAUAGAACACCAGCAACCCGGAGAGAUAUUGUAGCACGGCCCAGAGCUAUACUUUCCAUUUUUAUUAAAAUUCUUAUUAACUCAUAGCCCAAGAGCUUUUAAGCCAAGCCUGAUCUCCUUUAGGGCCCCUUGAUUUGAUCAGAGCAAUUUGUGUGCAGUGUUCUGGUCCCACUUUGUGGAAAGGCAGCAAUACAGCAGCCAAAUGGUGUUAUUCAGAAGAUGGUGGGGUUCUCUCUCCCUCCAAAACCACCUGGCCUUACAGCCCUACUCCCACCCUGGCCACAUAGACACACUUGAGGUCUACAAUGACAAAUCUGCUUCCUGAGUUUAAGGCCUCCCACCCCUUUGAAAGUGUAAAUCUUUCUAGGAAAACUUUCAGUCCUUUGUAGCUCAGUGGUGCUGAAUUGGUUGGCUCCUAUUCUGAGUACAAAGGUAACACUUUGGGGGGAAAAUAUCCUGCAAGGUAAGGGUCCUGAGGGAAAAUAACACCAUCUUGAGGUGCUAGGGGGAAAGAGGGACAAGUUGGGGACCUUGCCGCUUGGGGACUAGCUCACAGUCUUGUGGAGUAGGAGCUGUCUGAAAAGGGUGCGAACAAAAUGGUUUUCUCUCAACAAACCUGCAGGAGCUCCAUGUGUGUGAUUGGGUCAGGUCCAUCGUCUGAGCUGUUGGGUAAAGCUGCGUCUCUGUUCUUCCCCCGUGGGCUUCAUGGCGAUUUUUAUCCUUCAGUUGGUGUUUGCUUAAGUGGCCUCCCUGAAUUACUCACAUUUAUCCUUCCGUUAAUAGGGAGUCUUAAACUUAAUGUCAUCACCUUGGUAAUCUGCUAAGCUAUAGAGCGCCUGAAAAUAGCAACUCUCUUAGCAGCUUGCUGAGUAGAAGCCAUUUCUUUCCGGACAUAAACUAUAUCUGGAGCCUUUUUUAUUUUUCCUCAUAUUCGUGUUGAGGUACAGAACACAUAGCGUUGAGGCUGUGAAGGGUGGUGCCGCUAUCCCUAGGAUCGAACCUCCUAUCUCCAGCAUUGCUGACUUAGAUUUUAUUGCCAAGAAUUAAUUGGUAACGUGGCUCUGAAAAACCCCUCAUGAAUGAAAACUUGUAUCUGAGGCCUUAUUUUGUUAUCUGCCCAGUGUUUCUUGCCUGCUUUGUAUUUGAAGGUGCAGAUGUCCAGGCAGAGCCUUCUUCUUUGUAAUUUCAUAAUAUUUAAGGAACUGUUAUUUUUCCCUUUUUUGUCCUCUCCUUUAUUUAUUCUACAAAGAUUCACAGAGCUGGCAUUCACUAUGUCCCUGGAACUGUUGUGAGCCUGCUAACGAUAUCCGGUGAAUAUUAGAGAGAGGACUGAUUCUCAAGAAUAGUUAACAUGGUUAUAGUGCACUGAUGGCUGAUGAAGUAUUCCCAUAAUAUCUAAACUCAAAACAACACAGUGCAGUGUGCAGAGGAAGGAUUAUAAUCACUUCUACCUCAUAAAUGACAAAACUGUCACUCAAGAUCAUGCAGGCAGCAAGUGCUGAAAUCCAGACUCGAACCCAAAUCUGCUAAACUCUAAGCCCUGUUCUCUCAACCAUACUCUACUGCGUCCCUGGAUCUUAAAGAAUCUUCCCAGGAGAUGAGGCAUAAGCAUGUAAUAAGACAAAUGACUAUAUAAAGAAGUCUGUGAUUAAAUAUCAAAUGCGUGGUUAAGACCGGUGUUGCCAGGUUCCAGAAGAUGGGCAAAAUUAUUAUGGUAGCCAAAAAAUCAUGGUAGUAAAAGAGAUGGGGCUUGGUCAGUUAGGUUAGCUGGAGAGAAAGAAGAGACCUUUGACAAGAUAGAACCGAUUUAUCUUUCACGUAGAAGUCUGAGCUGAUGUGGCAGCUGAGCUACAAGAAUUUGGCAUUGACCCAGGCUUCUCCUGCCAAUCCUGGGCUUUCCUUCACCCGCAUCCCCAAGGUGGCUCACCAUCUUGUCCAUAUUCCAGGAAAUAGGCUGAAGAGAGAGGUGGUGGAAAGAGAGUGACCAAACAUUCCAUUUUUGCCCAGUUCUAGGGGAUUUUCCAGGACGUGAAACUUUCAAUGCUAAAAUCAGGAAAGUCCCUGGCAAAUGAGGGGGUUGUCAUGCUAGUUGUCGUGCUAGUUGUAGGGCCGCACCUGAAAGUUGUAUGUUUCACUUGUAGUUCUAUCCAGUUUGCUAGAACUUAGUCACGUGGUCACACCUGGCUGCAAGUGAGGCUGGAAAAUGUAGUCUUUAUUCUGGGUGGCCAUGUGCCCAGCUAAAAUCUUCCCAUGGAAGAAGGGGGUAAGAGAUACCGGGCUAUAACUAGCUGUCUCUGCCAUAACACAGAAAUAUUUUUGGUGGUAGAACAGUGUUCACAAAAGGUAACAAGCUUUUGUGUUGAGUGCUCCCCAGAUGAACUUUGAAAGGUCUGCCGCCUGCUCCCCACUAUUAGGAGAUAGCGUCGACCUAAUAGCUGACGUGUCAUGAUGGAGGGAACCUGUGCGCACGGGUAGUCAGUUCUGCCCCGGCAGACAUGCUCUCCAGCCUUGUUCUUGCUGUGCUGGAGUGCGGUUUCCAUACAAAACCCUCCCAGUUAGAGUUUGAAAUUCAUCUCAUCAAACACUCCAGCUCCAAGGACAAGAAGACUGGAUUGGGAUAGGAAGGGACCCAAGGAGUGAGAGACAAUAUGGCAGUGUUUGGAAAUCAGUUGUUCAGUAGAAGAGAACCUAGGACACAACUUAUGUAACAUAUCCCAGUCUGGUAAAGACCCUUCAUCACCUCCUCUAUCAUCCUAGCCUCCCGGGUAUUCCCAGUCUCCACACUGAUGAUACAAGCGUGUGACCACGUGUCAACUUUGAAUUAUUGUUUCUCUUCUUGAUGGCCUAUGAUUUUUUUUUUUUUUUUUUUAGCAAAAUCAUUUCACUGUGGGGAAUUGAAAUAUCUCUGUUCCUAAACUGAGGCGUGGUCCCUCCUGCCCAAGUGAAUCUCAAGUGUUUCGUGAAUCAGCUAGACUUUGGCCAUGUGUUUCUCAUCACGCUCUAUGCCUGUUUUCUUGUGUACCGUGGAGCUUCCAACUUGAAGAGAAUAAACAUUCCAAAGGCAUUAGCAUGCUUGUAUGAAUUAGUAACUUUGAGGAGGGAAAAAGCUGAAAUGAGAUCCAGCCGCAGUUGUAACAGCUUUACUUGCCUGGAAGUACUUACUUGUCAUUUUGUAAAGGUUUUCAGUCAGCAUCAGCCACUGUGAUGGUUACAGAAGCCUGGGAACAAUUUUGAUUGUGCAGUGAUUCAGGGAGUUAUUAAGGACAAUAAAUCUGCAUUAGUUAAGAAUUGAAGAGCUAUAAUGUAAUAUUAUGCAGCCAUUAAGCAUCACAUUUUCAAAGAAUAUUUAAUGGUGUGGUAAAAUGCUCAUGAUAUAAUGUUAAGUGGAAGAAUCAAGAUCUCAGACUGCAUCUACAGCACGUUUCCAAUUUUGUAAGUUUGCAUAUGGAAAAAAGACUAGAAGGAAAUUCUCCAAAACGUUAACAGUGUUGGUGAGACUAUAGACCACGGUUUUGUGCUUAAAGCCAUCUAUCUUUUCCACAUUUUCUAAAUGAACAACUGUUCCUUCUAUUUUAAUGCAAACAUGUACUACACAUAUAAUUAUGGAAAGUUAUUUACUUUUAGAAGAAUAUAGACCGAAAUGCCCUUUUGUGACUAUGUGAUGACGUUGAUGAAAAUAGACCAUUUUCUGCAAAAGUCCAAGACAAAUAUUGGGACUCCUCACCCUUAAAAGAGCUCUAACACAGUCGUGUGCUCAGUAGGUAGCUUCAGACCUGUGUGGUUCAUUCAUGCAUUCAUCAUCUAUUUAUUGGGUUCCAAUGUGUGCCAGGCACAGUGCUAAACUGAGUAAGGCCUGGGUCCCAACCUUAAGAAGCCUGCCCUACGAUGGGGAGACUUUCAUACUAAUAAGGCAAUAUGUUAAUUGUCUUAGGGAGUUGUGAAUAAAGUAUGUGUUCAUUAGAUGAAUUAGUAGAUGGAUCAAUCAAUGGAUGAACAGAAGCAAGAGUUGGUCACCAGGUCUGACCUUUCCUUUAGGGGUUUUCUGGCACCCUGUGAGAUUUCUCCCAUCUCCUUAUGGGAAUCUCAAGUGUCUGGGCUCUGCCCUUUCAGUCGAUUGCUUCAUAAGACGACAAAGGCAAAUGGAAGAAUUGACCAUCUCUUUCCAUGUGUUGUCCUGGCGAGGCUGUACUGAUUAGGGAAUGGAUGAUUCUGGAAGGAGUCAGAGCUGGAGGCCUCCAGAUGUGCAAAACUUCUCCCUAGUUCAUGCAGGGUUCCUGUGGGACAAGAACUCAAGCUACAGGCAUGAACAGACCAGUAUUUUUUUGGCAGAAUUGGACCCAGCAGGAAGUAGAAAAGGCCCUCUGUCCCCCACUGUCCACCCCCACCCCCGCACCCAACACUGAUGCAGGAACUAAGCAGAGAGGCCCCUUCCAUUCCAGUGAGAGAGGAGUUUAACAGGCCAAUGCCCCAGGGAACAGCAACCCACUGAAUUCCAAUAGCCCUAAGGUAUAAAUAAAUGCCAAGGGAGACUAACACUUCCUGCUGUAGAACUCCCUGGGGCAUAUGGUGUCUCCAGACUGGCAGUAAUCCAGGUAAGCAAAGGUGAGGCGUGAACCAGGUUGGACCAGGGAAAAGACAUCUCCUCCCUAGCAGAUUCUUACUAAAUGCUCUGGCAGUCUCUCUCACUCUCUGGGACACACUACCUCCCCCUAGUGGGGCUUGCAGUUCUCCUCAAAGUCCUGUGUGGAGGAGGACUCCUGAUGUCUUUUUUGCAGGACUCCUGGAAAUCCUUAAGCGAUCUAAGUAAAUGAGUAACUCUUUGGAUAGUGCAAGAUGAAAGUAAAUGAGCUGCCCUGAGACCAUAAUGAAUGCAAAUGAAUUCUGCACCUUUACACAGGUUUGAGAGAGACUAGCAGAGCUACUAGUGGUGAGACUAGUCUGAACAUGAGAGAGACUCAAAAUCAAUGGGAAUCAGGAAGAAGAGAGGGAAGGAAAAUGCAAAGUGGUAGUCCUUGGAGAAGCCAUUAGCCAAGGCUUGGCUUUUAUUCCUUUCUUCCUAAGAAAUACCCUAGGUGGUUUCUGCCCAGUGCCUCCCUGGAGCUUUCUCUUCGAGGGUCCCACAUCCCCACGGGUCUGGGCCGGGGUGAGGGGUACAUCCAUUCCCUGUGCAGAGGCUGUGGCUGCACCCAGUGCGCCUCAGUCAGAAGCUGCCCGGAGGUGCCUAGAAGUAAAUAGACCACUGUGGUGGCUGAGCCCAGACUUGACAGUCACCAAAGAGUGUCUCCUCCACCUUGCCUUCCUUUGUCCUCCUCUCGGGCUCUCUUUCCUUCCGGGAGCCUCUUGAUGCCCUCUGAGCCCCGACCCAAACCUUCCUUUACCUGGAACUGAUCACUAGUUUGGCAGGACCGCCUUCUUCCCCUGCCUGCCUCUCUUCCCCUUCCUGCUCCAGGCUCAGGUCCAAAGCAAGGCCGAGAGGGGAGAGGAAGUGAGUCUCACACCUGUCACUGCUUCUCCAACUCUGUUCCCUCCCCUCCAAACGUUGUUCAGGAAGCCUCUUCAGUCUGUCCCGCUUUCCCCACCACUCCUGGUGUUGCCUGUCCUUCACCCUAGGGAUCCUCUACAAUGAAAUGCCUUGUAUAGUUAGUACUGAUUUGCCUCUGAAAUGUACAUGAAUCUUUCUUUCUUCGUCUAGUUCUCAGUGAGCACCUAAUACAUGCACCCACUGUAGCAGAGGUUAUGGACACGAACAAGCUGAAUCUGGCUGCUUAUAAGGCGAUAGCUAGAAUGCAGUCACUGAAUAGUCCUGAAUCCUGACUGGAAGCAGCAAUCGUGAGGCAGACGGUAACCCCCGGGUCCUGUGCAGAUGGUCCCUUGUUCUCAGGGACCAACACAGGCAGCUCCUUCCCAAACCCCAUUCCUUCAGAGACCCCCUUCUCUCCCACAAGGCAGCUCCACAUUCCCAUAUCACUGCAGCAGGAAGAAGGAUGUUCACCCCCAAGCUGGUUCCUGAGCACACAUUCCUAUGGAAGCCUUGCCAUAAAGGGUGGUUCGGGGAUAUCCUUAGGACUACGCUUCAAGUAAAUGACGAUUAAAACAUAACUUUUUAAACCUGUCCUCUGGGAAUAUAACCACCCUUCAUAAUUUGCAUUUCUUGGAGAAAGCUUCCAAAUAGCAAAUGAACAAAUGAGUUCAUUUUAGAUUUUAUAUAAACCAGAUAUUUUCUUACCAGCCCUAAACCCCUGAACUCUGCCGUUCUCUCAGGGCUCCAUUUCUACCAGCUCACUCACCUUUUGAAGUCAUUUAUGUCAAGGUAUUAUUGGGUUAAAAAUGUUACUUUUAUACGUAACAGGCAUUUUAGCAGAGGAUUCCGAUAGACUGAUGCCUUAACUCUCAAAAAAGAAAAAGAAGAAAAGAUUUUUUUUUUCAUUCCAGUGUUUCUCUCCAUAGCUCUAAUAAGGGGGGGAGGUGGGUAGGGGGAAGGAUCUCACAUAGAUUUUAAGGCAAGUCAAGAAGAGAAACAUUUGGGAAGAAGGGAUUUGGGGCGCUCUAAAAUCAUACACUUUGAGUCUCACACCCAGUAUAUAUAAACACCGCAUUAAUAUUGUUUUCCAAUUAGGCUUUAUGUUCUACCUCUCCAAAGUACUUAACAUGUUAUCUGUAUCACAGGCAGGAGAAGGGGAGGGUGUUGGUCUGCCCAAUGAGAUGCCUUUAAUUCUGAAAUGUAAUUGAAGGUUGUGGAGUUUCUGAGUUUCUGAAUUGAGAGUGCACACCUUUUCCUUUCUGUGGUUGCGUUAGGGCUUGGGAACUAAAGCUAAAGACAAUAAAUAUCUAAAGUUUUAAAUCUGAUGGAGAGAAAAAGAAAGAG
Molecule: long non-coding RNA, 22283 nt
Organism: Panthera uncia (snow leopard)
Lineage: Eukaryota; Metazoa; Chordata; Mammalia; Carnivora; Felidae
Exons: 2
Source: RefSeq, a predicted model, not a curated record